This 253-nucleotide ribosomal RNA is filed under the name uncultured bacterium. Its description in RNAcentral is "partial 16S ribosomal RNA". It matches the Rfam family "Bacterial small subunit ribosomal RNA", at positions 524 to 776 of the family's 1533-position model. The record is from RNAcentral.
UACGUAGGGUGCAAGCGUUGUCCGGAAUUAUUGGGCGUAAAGAGCUCGUAGGCGGUUUGUCGCGUCUGCUGUGAAAACUCGGGGCUUAACCCUGGGCCUGCAGUGGGUACGGGCAGACUAGAGUGCGGUAGGGGAGACUGGAAUUCCUGGUGUAGCGGUGAAAUGCGCAGAUAUCAGGAGGAACACCGGUGGCGAAGGCGGGGCUCUGGGCCGUAACUGACGCUGAGGAGCGAAAGCGUGGGGAGCGAACAGG